GGAAAAGUCGCCAUUGGUAGGGCAAGAUAUUUGCUAAGUAUUGUGUUUUUACACCUGGAUGUUCGAAUCAUCUCUUUUCCG
RNAcentral lists this transfer RNA (81 nucleotides) under Cladosporium sphaerospermum. RNAcentral describes it as "tRNA-Ser". The record is from RNAcentral. Lineage: Eukaryota; Fungi; Ascomycota; Dothideomycetes; Cladosporiales; Cladosporiaceae.